UAACGGCUGGUGGGGAGCGGCCUCCUGGGGCUCGGGGUGUCAGCGCCUGGCUGCCUCCAGCCCUGCAGCAACGGCUGCACCCGCUCAAGGCAGCCCGCUGGCGCCCUGCCACAGGAGGGGCAGCAGAAAUCGCAUCCCUCCGAUGUUGCUACCAGCAGCUGCUUCCGCCAUGCGAACAUGGUCUUUUUCCUACCCGCCAGGACUUGCCACCACCUGGUCGGGUCGCGAAUGCGGAGGGAUGGGGUCUGCUCUCACAACCUGCAGAAUUUGCUGCUUUUGGCUAAUUUGCCGUUGAUUUAUUUGAUUAUUGAGGCGCUGUUUCAUUUUGUGUGCCAGUACCUGUAAAGGGAGGUGAGAUUUUGGGGGUGUGGAGGACAGACAUGAGCCCAACUUGAUCCCAUAGGGGCCCAUUUGAUUUAUUUCAUUUGCCUCCUUGCUUAUUUGCGAUUGAUGUAUUUGAUUAUUGAGGUGUGUUGUCUAGUUUUGUGUGUGAGGACGUGUAAAGGGAGGUGAGGCUUGAGGGUAUGAAGCGCAGACCAGACCCGAUCAAAGGCUACUUUCAAUGGUUGCAAAUUGUGCCAAUUUGGCCCCUAUCUGUCAGACUUCGCUACACAUGCACCUGUGGUCUAGGGAUAGCAAAUUUGGAGGGAUGGGGACAACCGGCAGAAUUUGCUACCUCCUUGCUAAUUUGCAAAUGAUUUAUUUGAUUAUUGAGGUGUGCUGUCUAAUUUUGUGUGCGGGUACAUGUAAAGUGAGGUGAGACUUGGGUUAGGGUUAUUCUAAUCAUACAGAUGCCAUUCUAGCAUAAUCCUAGCUCAGGCUCUAUACUAGGGGUAUCUAAAGCAAUACUUUUUUGAUGGUCAAAUUAAAUGUUAGGGGCUUUCUGCUAGUAUAGGGUAGGUGAAUAAAUAUUUGACUGGGCUGGUAAAUAUUCAUGCCAAUAUUAUUUAUACAGAUAUUAACUUAAAGGAAUAUCAAAUACACAGUAUAUGGGAUACACAUAUUGUAGGUCUCUGUCUUUCAGACUCUGUACAGAAGAAAUUUUUUUAAAAGACCCCACAACAUUCUGCAAUUUCACGCACCCUGCCUUUUAGUAGGGUUAAAUCUGGAAGUAUAUCAGAUGUCUUUUUACAAGGCUGAAUUUCUUGCUGAAAAGAGAAUGAUAAAGAAAACCUGAAUCUGGAAAUUGCCAUCAUUGCCACCAAGACUUCAGAUUCACAUGGGCACCAGGAAGGGGAGCAGAGAGCAAAGAAAAGGCAAUCUACCUGCUCUCAGAUGAGGAGACACCUGAAAGAAACCCGAACCUUGAAAUUUACCCAGCAAAUUGUAGAUCCUCAGCCCAAGAGCUCACAGAACCCUGACCCUGAUGUCAGACCAACAAGCUACAGGUCCCAAGUCAGCAAGACUCCUGCCUUGACAUCAGACCAGCUACCUAAAAGCUGAACCAGUGGACCCUCACCAAGGCCUAUAUCUUUAACCCAGUGCAGCAAGCUGUGGCCAGUCUGCUAGUAAACUUCACAGAGGUCUGCAUGUUGACCUCAGAUCUGCAUGCUAGAGUUGCUGAGCCACAGGUCUCAAAGUCACCAUCUGAUAUCAGCCAGGCAAGCUAGAUGUGGCAAGUCAGUGACCUCACAGAAGCUCAUUACUUGACAUCAGUCCAGAAAACAAGAGAGGCUCUGAGCCAGUAAUUAUCAUAGAUGUGAUAGACCCAGGCCAGUUGGGAACAGCAGAGUAGUAGAAGAGAAAUAUACCGGCCACGGGAUAAGCAGUUUUCUGUUCCCUGAGUGACCAGAGCAGGAGCUGCUCCAGGCUAAUGAGAGCACCUCACUCUAAUUAACCUGCUAAGACUCAGAUGAGGCUGUUAAGCACAGGACUCUAAUUAAGGCCACUCUGAUGCUAUAAAAGGGCUCACUCCAGUCAGGCCAGAGGAGAGGAAGUGCGUGCAAGGAACUGGGAGCAAGAGGCAUGCAAGAGGCUACGCGUCGACCCGGCAGACUAACACGGCUGCUACUCUGAAACCAGAUAUUUUGAGAAAUCCAAAAACAUUGAAUGUCAUGCAGAACUGUUAAAGAUUGCACCGUUCUUUGCUAUUCCUUCUCACAAUGCAAAUGUAGAGCAAAUUUUUUCACUGAUGCAAAGCCAGUGGACAAAGGAAAGGAACAACUUGAAUGUUGAGUCAUUGAAAGGAAUUCUACUUUACAGUACAACUUCAGGCAAACUUCUUGUAAAGACUUUCAUGCCUUCUCAAAGAGCAGUCAACCGCUGCUGAGAAAAAUGUGAUCUACAGAGAAGUAUGUGUGGGCACGUGAGGAGAAAGAAAAACGGAAGAACUAGUGAAAGGAAAGGACUCACUAUAUUUAAUAAUAUAUGGAGAUAGGUAUAUCUCAUAGAACUGGAAGGGACACCAAAGGGUCAUCGAGUCCAGCCCCCUGCCUUCACUAGCAGGACCAAGUACUGAUUUUGCCCCAGAUCCCUAAGUGGGCCCCCUCAAGGAUUGAACUCACGACCCUGCGUUUAGCAGGCCAAUGCUCAAACUUUAAAUAAUUAAAUUUCACUUUUGAGGCCAUAUCACUUUUUCUUAUAUAUACUCAAUAUAGACGACAUGUGGCGCACAGCAUAUAUAACAGUAUAACAACACAUUAAUACAACGCAAGUUGGUAGAUACUGGUGCACAUACCUCCCGUGGAGUGUCCUCUUUUUCGAAUGUUCAAAUAUGGUAACCCUAUCCACCCCCGUUUUUUUUUUUUCCCCUCCAGCCCUUCUUCUGCCGCUACCUACAGUAGCUUGAUCCCCCCAGCCAGGAAAUUUAGGCCCCUGCUCAGAUCCUGACCCCCCCCCCCUGCAGUUUGCCCCCUUUGCCUCUUUUUAACCCCUCUAAAGAGCAGGCAGCAAAGUAUGACUAGAAGUAAGGGCAGAGUGAGGGCAACUGCAACAGCGGAUGUUACUGCGCAUGCUCAGUUCGGGUGAGCAUGCUUAGUGCACCCACAGUAGGGAAUUCUGAGAGGGAGCUUUUUGUGUCGUGCCCAGCUAGGUGACUCUUGGAUCUUGAAAUCCCAUCGGGGGGCUCGGUGCCUCACGCAGCGGGAGACCUGUGGGAUUGGCAAUGCUCUUAUUCCACCUCCAGUACAGCGUGGUUGGGGUCUCUCCUUAGGGUCACUGUCCCCACCUUCCCCUCUGGGCAGCUGUGCCCCUUCAGCCACCCCAUUCAGGACAGGAAGUUAGGGAGUGAAUGCUUAGGGCCUGUCUACCCUGGGAGCUCUCACCCUAUCUGAGCUGGGUGCUGGAAGGGCAGUCUGUUGACCUUCCCCCUUUGUGAAUCUAGGCAAGGUGGGGACAAUGCUUGUUCCAGUUCCACUCCCAGCGAAGAUGUAGCACACAAUCCUGUUCCCCCUCCCCCGGAGAAGGAACUAGAUCAAGGGUUCUCAAGCUCUUUCGUUUUGAGGCCACCCCACCAAUAUCUAUAAAAACUCCACGGCCCACCUGUGCCACAACAACUGUUUUUCUCCAUAUAAAAAUCAGGGCCAGCGUUAAGAGGUAGGAACCAGGGCACUUGCCCAGGGUCCCAUGCCACAAGGAGCACCACAAAGUUAAGUUACUCAGGCUUUGGCUUCAGCCCUGGGAGUUGGAGCUCAGGGCCCCGGGCUGCUGUCCUGCAUGGCAGGGC
Mauremys reevesii (Reeves's turtle) is the source of this 3664-nucleotide long non-coding RNA. RefSeq lists it as uncharacterized. The transcript has 4 exons. Lineage: Eukaryota; Metazoa; Chordata; Testudines; Geoemydidae. The record is from RefSeq and is a predicted model, not a curated record.